RNAcentral lists this unclassified non-coding RNA (268 nucleotides) under Basidiomycota sp. RNAcentral's name for it is "partial contains small subunit ribosomal RNA, internal transcribed spacer 1, and 5.8S ribosomal RNA". The stretch from base 1 to 47 matches the Rfam family "Eukaryotic small subunit ribosomal RNA", at positions 1785 to 1831 of the family's 1831-position model. The record is from RNAcentral. Lineage: Eukaryota; Fungi; Basidiomycota.
AAAGUCGUAACAAGGUUUCCGUAGGUGAACCUGCGGAAGGAUCAUCAAUAAUCCAUCCGAUUAGUGGCCUCAAAACCACUAAUCAAACCAUCUUGUGAACCGUUUUAUGUUUAUCGGUUGGGAGUAUAACUGUGAUGGCAACUUUGGUUGUUGGAACGACUCUCAAUCGGUUAUCUUUAUACAAACUAUUUUGUUUUUGAAGUUGGUUAUUAUACAGGCAACUGUACUAAUAUAAAUACAACUUAUAGCGAUGGAUCUCUAGGCUCUG